AUUACCAUCUUUUCUUCUCUCUUCACUCAAUCCACUGAAAUUCUAGAUGAAGGGCCUUUACUGUCGUCCUCCUCCGCCACCGCAGCCAACGAGAUAGAGUUUCGACGGUUGCUAAAUAUUUAAAUAAGUGUUGGUAAAUUAGCAGCACUCUUUUAGGUUAUAGCGACACUCUUUAACUGUCACUAUAUACCUAGCGACCCCACAUAUAGCAACACUUUUUAAAAGUGUCGGUAAUUUUAGCUAGCAGCACUUUUUUAACAUGUACCUACAUUUAAAAGUGUCGCUAUAGACCGUUUUUGUUGUAGUGUAGAGAGAGAAGAAGGAGGAGAAGAAGAAGAAGGAGUUGGAGGAGAGCUAGCUUAGAGG
Molecule: long non-coding RNA, 366 nt
Filed under: Ananas comosus (pineapple)
Lineage: Eukaryota; Viridiplantae; Streptophyta; Magnoliopsida; Poales; Bromeliaceae
Description: long non-coding RNA (ACOM_LNC017965)
Source: RNAcentral